RNAcentral lists this non-coding RNA (27 nucleotides) under Mus musculus (house mouse). The record is from RNAcentral. Lineage: Eukaryota; Metazoa; Chordata; Mammalia; Rodentia; Muridae.
UUCACUCUGAGUUUUUUGCUGCACGAG